RNAcentral lists this ribosomal RNA (528 nucleotides) under uncultured bacterium. Its description in RNAcentral is "bacterial SSU rRNA". It matches the Rfam family "Bacterial small subunit ribosomal RNA", at positions 8 to 518 of the family's 1533-position model. The record is from RNAcentral.
AGGGUUCGAUUCUGGCUCAGGAUGAACGCUGGCGGCGUGCCUAAUACAUGCAAGUCGAGCGAACAGAUAAGGAGCUUGCUCCUUGACGUUAGCGGCGGACGGGUGAGUAACACGUGGGUAACCUACCUAUAAGACUGGGAUAACUUCGGGAAACCGGAGCUAAUACCGGAUAACAUUUGGAACCGCAUGGUUCUAAAGUGAAAGAUGGUUUUGCUAUCACUUAUAGAUGGACCCGCGCCGUAUUAGCUAGUUGGUAAGGUAACGGCUUACCAAGGCGACGAUACGUAGCCGACCUGAGAGGGUGAUCGGCCACACUGGAACUGAGACACGGUCCAGACUCCUACGGGAGGCAGCAGUAGGGAAUCUUCCGCAAUGGGCGAAAGCCUGACGGAGCAACGCCGCGUGAAGUGAUGAAGGGUUUCGGCUCGUAAAACUCUGUUAUUAGGGAAGAACAAAUGUGUAAGUAACUGUGCACGUCUUGACGGUACCUAAUCAGAAAGCCACGGCUAACUACGUGCCAGCCGCCGC